RNAcentral lists this long non-coding RNA (466 nucleotides) under Ananas comosus (pineapple). Its description in RNAcentral is "long non-coding RNA (ACOM_LNC017242)". Lineage: Eukaryota; Viridiplantae; Streptophyta; Magnoliopsida; Poales; Bromeliaceae. The record is from RNAcentral.
AGAUAAGAUCAUGUGUUGAAAAUUAGGCCUCCGUGCUUCCGAGUCAUUUUUUUCUGAGCCGUUUUCGAUGAUGGAAUUUCGAAUCGACGAUCGGUUCUGUUAGACUUGAUCUAGCGUAUUUGAAGUUUUAGAAUAUAAUUUUUGCGAUUUUUCGAUAUUAUUUACCUAGCAAUCGAAAGGAUUCAAAAUCAAUAAUUUUUAACGGCUGAAAAUAAAAAUCUUAUAAAAAGUGAUGAUAUAGCACUAAAAUUUUUAAUCAGAAAUAUUAAUAUUGUUGUACAUAGUAUAAAAAAUUUUGUAUCAAAAUUUCAUCUGAUUUGAAUACUUCUACACCGUUAAACUUGAAAACGGUAGAUAUCAACCAUUAAAAAUUAUUGAUUUUUAAUAUAAAUAUUUAUGAAUUUCAAAAAUAUAAAGUUUUAAUAUUCAAAAAUAUAAAUUUAAAUUUUAAAUUUCAAAGUUUAAA